CUUGGCCUGGCUGCAAUUGAGCAGGCUAGGAAGCACCAGGCCUCGCGCAUCACCUGGCUGCGGGCUAGCGAUGCCCGGUCGGCCUUCUUCCAGGCCAAGAUCAACUCUAGGAUGCAGAAAAACUUCAUUCACGCCAUCCACAUGAUAGACUCGAUCGUCACCUCGCAUAGCGACAAGGCCAGUGCUAUCUACGACCACUUCAGCUCCUCCCUUGGAGCGGAGCCUGUCAGAGACACCACCAUAAACUAG
This 249-nucleotide ribosomal RNA is filed under the name Triticum aestivum (bread wheat). RNAcentral's name for it is "partial small subunit ribosomal RNA". The record is from RNAcentral. Lineage: Eukaryota; Viridiplantae; Streptophyta; Magnoliopsida; Poales; Poaceae.